Molecule: ribosomal RNA, 424 nt
Filed under: Borophaga subsultans
Lineage: Eukaryota; Metazoa; Arthropoda; Insecta; Diptera; Phoridae
Description: partial 16S ribosomal RNA
Source: RNAcentral
UUUUUGAAAUUAAUUUAAAGUCUAACCUGCCCACUGAAUUUUUAAAUGGCCGCAGUAUCUUAACUGUGCAAAGGUAGCAUAAUCAUUAGUCUUUUAAUUGAAGGCUGGUAUGAAUGGUUGGAUGAAAUAUUAACUGUUUCAAUUUAAUUAAAUAUAAAAUUUUAUUUUUUAGUCAAAAAGCUAAAAUAUAAUUAAAAGACGAGAAGACCCUAUAAAUCUUUAUAAUUAUAGGUAAAUAAAUAAAUAGAAUAUUUAAUUUAUUUAUUGUUUAAUUAUUUUAUUGGGGUGAUAUUAAAAUUUAAUAAACUUUUAAUAUAAAUUUUACAUAAAUUAAUGAAUUAUUGAUCCAUAAAUUAUGAUUAGAAAAUUAAGUUACUUUAGGGAUAACAGCGUAAUUUUUUUAGAGAGUUCAUAUUGAUAAAAA